This 478-nucleotide ribosomal RNA is filed under the name uncultured bacterium. RNAcentral describes it as "partial 16S ribosomal RNA". It matches the Rfam family "Bacterial small subunit ribosomal RNA", at positions 28 to 523 of the family's 1533-position model. The record is from RNAcentral.
GACGAACGCUGGCGGCGUGCUUAACACAUGCAAGUCGAACGGUAAGGCCCUUCGGGGUACACGAGUGGCGAACGGGUGAGUAACACGUGGGUGAUCUGCCCUGCACUUCGGGAUAAGCCUGGGAAACUGGGUCUAAUACCGGAUAGGACCACUGCCUGCAUGGGUGGUGGUGGAAAGCUUUUGCGGUGUGGGAUGGGCCCGCGGCCUAUCAGCUUGUUGGUGGGGUGAUGGCCUACCAAGGCGACGACGGGUAGCAGGCCUGAGAGGGUGACCGGCCGCACUGGGACUGAGGUACGGCCCAGACUCCUACGGGAGGCAGCAGUGGGGAAUAUUGCACAAUGGGCGCAAGCCUGAUGCAGCGACGCCGCGUGAGGGAUGAUGGCCUUCGGGUUGUAAACCUCUUUCAGCACCGACGAAGCGCAAGUGACGGUAGGUGCAGAAGAAGGACCGGCCAACUACGUGCCAGCCGCCGCCGUAA